CCUGGUUGAUCCUGCCAGUAGUCAUAUGCUUGUCUCAAAGAUCAAGCCAUGCAUGUGUAAGUAUGAACUAUUUCAGACUGUGAAGCUGCGAAUGGCUCAUUAAAUCAGUUAUAGUUUGUUUGAUGGUACAUGCUACUCGUAUAACCGUAGUAAUUCUAGAGCUAAUAUGUGCAACAAACCCCGACUUUCUUAAGGGAUGCAUUUAUUAGAUAAAAGGUUGACGCGGGCUUUGCCCGCUGCUCCGAUUAUUCAUGAUAACUCGACGGAUCGGAUGGCCCUCGUGCCGGUGACGCAUCAUUCAAAUUUCUGCCCUAUCAACUUUCGAUGGUAGGAUAGGGGCCUACCAAGGUGGUGAUGGGUGACGGAGAAUUAGGGUUCGAUUCCGGAGAGAGAGCUUGAGUAACGGCUACCAUAUCCAAGGAAGGCAGUAGGAGCACAAAUUAUCCAAUCCUGACACGGGGAGGUAGUGACAAUAAAUAACAAUACCGAGCUCUUCGAGUCUGGUAAUUGGAAUGAGUACAAUCUAAAUCCGCCUUGCGGUGUGCACCGGUCGUCCCAUCCCUUCUGUCGACGAUGCGUGCCUGGCCUUAACUAGCCGGGUCGUGCAUCCGACGUUGUUAUUUUGAAGAAAUUAGAUUGCUCAAAGCAAGCCCACGCUCUGGAUACAUUAGCAUGGGAUAACAUCAAAGGAUUUCGGUCCUAUUGUGUUGGCCUUCGGGAUCGGAGUAAUGAAUAAGAGGGACAAUCGGGGGCAUUCGUAUUUCAUAGUCAGAGGUGAAAUUCUUGGAUUUAUGAAAGACGAACCACUACGAAAGCAUUUGCCAAGUAUGUUUUCAUUAAUCAAGAACGAAAGUUGGGGGCUCGAAGAUGAUUAGAUACCGUACUAGUCUCAACCAUAAAUGAUGUCGACCAGGGAUCGGCGGAUGUUGCUCUUAGGACUCCACUAGCACCUUAUGAGAAAUCAAAGUCUUUGGGUUCCAUGGGGACUAUGGUCGCAAGGCUGAAACUUAAAGGAAUUGAUGGAAGGGCACCACUAGGAGUGGAGCCUGCGGCUUAAUUUGACUCAACACGGGGAAACUUACCAGGUUCAGACAUAGCAAGGAUUGACAGAUUGAGAGCUCUUUCUUGAUUCUAUGGGUGGUAGUGCAUGGUCGUUCUUAGUUGGUGGAGCGAUUUAUCUGGUUAAUUCUGAUAACGAACAAGACCUCAGCCUGCUAACUAGCUACACUGAGGCAUCCCUCCGUGGCCAGCUUCUUAGAGGGACUAUGGCUGUUUAGGCCACGAAAGUUUGAGGCAAUAACAGGUCUAUGAUGCCCGUAGAUGUUCUGGGCCGAACGUGCGCUACAUUGAUGUAUUCAACGAGUCUAUAGCCUUGGCCGACAGGCCCAGGUAAUCUUUGAAAAUUUCAUCGUGACGGGGAUAGAUCAUUGCAAUUGUUGGUCUUCAACAAGGAAUUCCUUGUAAGCAUGAGUCAUCAGCUGGUGUUGACUACGUCCCUGCCCUUUGUACACACCACCCAUCGCUCCUACCGAUUGAAUGGUCCGGUGAAGUGUUCGGAUCAAGGUGACGGGGGUAGUUCGCCGCCCGCGACGUCGCGAGAAGUCCACUGAACCUUUUCAUUUAGAGGAAGGAGAAGUCGUAACAAGGUUUCCGUUGGUGAACCUGCGGAAG
RNAcentral lists this ribosomal RNA (1671 nucleotides) under Musa schizocarpa. RNAcentral describes it as "SSU rRNA". It matches the Rfam family "Eukaryotic small subunit ribosomal RNA". The record is from RNAcentral. Lineage: Eukaryota; Viridiplantae; Streptophyta; Magnoliopsida; Zingiberales; Musaceae.